UCAUGUUUGAAGUCAGGCUCUUGAAGCCUUCUCACACUGGGGCUAUUGAUAGAGACUCAGCAAUGACUCAUUCCACUCUUUCUUUGCUAAUUUGCAGUUGGGCUCAACAUUUAGCCAGAUUCAACAUUUUGCUGUCUUUUGGAUGAAGGUUUUACUUGCUUAACAAGCUUCAGGGACCACCUUUAAACCGUGGGGAAUGGGCGCUAGCUGCUUGACUGUAUCCAUAUUUGGUACUUUGUGGUCUUGCUUCCAAUGAAUGCUCAAAACAGUUCUCUUACCAGCCAAGUUGUAAAUGGGGAGCCGCAGUCUCCAGACAAGAGACUGAGACAGCAUUCUGUGCUCAUAGAUCACACGAGAAGGGAAGAGUGGGGGCCAAUUCUGUUGCAGCAUGGAGGAGGCUCUCAUAGAACACCUUUGACUGCAGUACAUCAACUCUGCACUGUGGCGGCUGAAUGAUUCCCCAAAGACAUCAGAGAAGAUGGAAUACUGAGAAAUCAAAGAGAAGUAGAAGAUAAUCCUUGUUCUCAGAGGGCUGAAAGUCAACUCAUCUUCCUGAAGGAGAUUCCCAGGCAUCGGGUUUUGGAGACAUGAUUCCCCACAGUUAGAAGAUCAUUCUAAAUUCCCAUUUGUGCUGAGCCAGAGGGACCCUCGCAAAGGCAUCUGAGUGUCCUGGCAAUGUCUUUGGCCCCAGUGCCAUAUCAAGAGAUAACAUUUGCUCUUCCUGCCACAGACUCCCUGCUUGUAGCGGGACUGCU
Molecule: non-coding RNA, 755 nt
Organism: Myodes glareolus (Bank vole)
Lineage: Eukaryota; Metazoa; Chordata; Mammalia; Rodentia; Cricetidae
Source: RefSeq, a predicted model, not a curated record